AUCCUCUGCUGCCAAGAAAAGCCUCUAGCGAGUUCACACACGGCCCGUACCCCAAACCAACACAGGUGGUCAGGUAGAGAAUACCAAGGCGUACGAGAUAACUAUGGUUAAGGAACUCGGCAAAAUACCCCCGUAACUUCGGGAGAAGGGGGGCCGGCACAUCGUGAACACCUUUUCGGUGGGAGCGGAAGCCGGUCGCAGAAACCAGUGAGAAGCGACUGUUUACUAAAAACACAGGUCCGUGCGAAGUCGCAAGACGAUGUAUACGGACUGACGCCUGCCCGGUGCUGGAAGGUUAAGAGGACCCGUUAACUCGUAAGGGUGAAGCGGAGAAUUUAAGCCCCAGUAAACGGCGGUGGUAACUAUAACCAUCCUAAGGUAGCGAAAUUCCUUGUCGGGUAAGUUCCGACCUGCACGAAUGGCGUAACGACUUCUCAACUGUCUCAACCAUAGACUCGGCGAAAUUGCACUACGAGUAAAGAUGCUCGUUACGCGCGGCAGGACGAAAAGACCCCGGGACCUUCACUAUAGCUUGGUAUUGUUGUUCGGUACGGUUUGUGUAGGAUAGGUGGGAGACUGUGAAACCUCGACGCUAGUUGAGGUGGAGUCGUUGUUGAAAUACCACUCUGAUCGUAUUGGACACCUAACGUCGAACCGUAUAUCCGGUUCACGGACAGUGCCUGGUGGGUAGUUUAACUGGGGCGGUUGCCUCCUAAAAUGUAACGGAGGCGCCCAAAGGUUCCCUCAACCUGGACGGCAAUCAGGUGUUGAG
This 772-nucleotide ribosomal RNA is filed under the name Mycobacterium gordonae. RNAcentral's name for it is "bacterial LSU rRNA". It matches the Rfam family "Bacterial large subunit ribosomal RNA", at positions 1597 to 2349 of the family's 2925-position model. The record is from RNAcentral. Lineage: Bacteria; Bacillati; Actinomycetota; Actinomycetes; Mycobacteriales; Mycobacteriaceae.